Molecule: ribosomal RNA, 253 nt
Filed under: uncultured bacterium
Lineage: Bacteria
Description: partial 16S ribosomal RNA
Rfam family: Bacterial small subunit ribosomal RNA
Source: RNAcentral
UACGUAGGGUCCGAGCGUUGUCCGGAAUUAUUGGGCGUAAAGGGCGCGUAGGCGGAUGUUUAAGUCAGAGGUGAAAGCCCCAGGGCUCAACCUUGGAACUGCCUUUGAUACUGGGCAUCUUGAGUAUGGGAGAGGUGAGUGGAACUCCGAGUGUAGAGGUGAAAUUCGUAGAUAUUCGGAAGAACACCAGUGGCGAAGGCGACUCACUGGCCCAUUACUGACGCUGAGGCGCGAAAGCGUGGGGAGCAACAGG